AACGGUCUAUACCUGCGGUACCUGCGGAAGGAUCAUUACAGAAAUAAACUUGAUAGGUUGUAGCUGACUCUAUUCUUGAGUAUUGUGCACACCUAUCAUUUUUAUCUUUCCACCAUGUGCACCUUGCAUAGGUCUGAUAAUCAAAGUCUACUUUGAUGUGUUGGGAACUGCUAUUUGUUGUAAUGGCUUUUCCUUGUAUUUCAGACUCUAUGAUUUUUUAUAUACACCAUGUAUGUUGAA
Molecule: unclassified non-coding RNA, 240 nt
Filed under: soil metagenome
Description: partial contains 5.8S ribosomal RNA, internal transcribed spacer 2, and large subunit ribosomal RNA
Source: RNAcentral